AGCAGCCGCGGUAAUUCCAGCUCCAAUAGCGUAUAUUAAAGUUGUUGCAGUUAAAAAGCUCGUAGUUGAAUUUCGGGAUCAAUAUAUUGGUCGUGCCUCCGGUAUGCACUGGUAUUAUUGAUUUCUACCUUCUGACGAACUGUGAUGUCAUUAAUUUGGUGUCAUGGGGAAUCAGGACCGUUACUUUGAAAAAAUUAGAGUGUUUAAAGCAGGCACACGCUUGAAUACAUUAGCAUGGAAUAAUGAAAUAGGACGUUCGAACCUAUUUUGUUGGUUUCUAGGAUUGACGUAAUGAUUAAUAGGGAUAGUUGGG
This 313-nucleotide ribosomal RNA is filed under the name uncultured Glomus. RNAcentral's name for it is "SSU rRNA". It matches the Rfam family "Eukaryotic small subunit ribosomal RNA", at positions 569 to 886 of the family's 1831-position model. The record is from RNAcentral. Lineage: Eukaryota; Fungi; Glomeromycota; Glomeromycetes; Glomerales; Glomeraceae.